UGGUUGAGUAUUCCUAACUGC
Molecule: non-coding RNA, 21 nt
Filed under: Caenorhabditis elegans
Lineage: Eukaryota; Metazoa; Nematoda; Chromadorea; Rhabditida; Rhabditidae
Source: RNAcentral